RNAcentral lists this ribosomal RNA (2928 nucleotides) under Pseudomonas fluorescens. RNAcentral's name for it is "partial 23S ribosomal RNA". It matches the Rfam family "Bacterial large subunit ribosomal RNA". Lineage: Bacteria; Pseudomonadati; Pseudomonadota; Gammaproteobacteria; Pseudomonadales; Pseudomonadaceae. The record is from RNAcentral.
UAUGGUCAAGUGAAGAAGCGCAUACGGUGGAUGCCUUGGCAGUCAGAGGCGAUGAAAGACGUGGUAGCCUGCGAAAAGCUUCGGGAGUCGGCAAACAGACUGUGAUCCGGAGAUGUCUGAAUGGGGGACCCAGCCAUCAUAAGAUGGUUAUCUUGUACUGAAUACAUAGGUGCAAGAGGCGAACCAGGGGAACUGAAACAUCUAAGUACCCUGAGGAAAAGAAAUCAACCGAGAUUCCCUUAGUAGUGGCGAGCGAACGGGGACUAGCCCUUAAGCUUCUUUGAUUUUAGCGGAACGCUCUGGAAAGUGCGGCCAUAGUGGGUGAUAGCCCUGUACGCGAAAGGAUCUUAGAAGUGAAAUCGAGUAGGACGGAGCACGAGAAACUUUGUCUGAAUAUGGGGGGACCAUCCUCCAAGGCUAAAUACUACUGACUGACCGAUAGUGAACUAGUACCGUGAGGGAAAGGCGAAAAGAACCCCGGAGAGGGGAGUGAAAUAGAUCCUGAAACCGUAUGCGUACAAGCAGUGGGAGCCCACUUUGUUGGGUGACUGCGUACCUUUUGUAUAAUGGGUCAGCGACUUAUUUUCAGUGGCGAGCUUAACCGAAUAGGGGAGGCGUAGCGAAAGCGAGUCUUAAUAGGGCGUCUAGUCGCUGGGAAUAGACCCGAAACCGGGCGAUCUAUCCAUGGGCAGGUUGAAGGUUAGGUAACACUGACUGGAGGACCGAACCGACUACCGUUGAAAAGUUAGCGGAUGACCUGUGGAUCGGAGUGAAAGGCUAAUCAAGCUCGGAGAUAGCUGGUUCUCCUCGAAAGCUAUUUAGGUAGCGCCUCAUGUAUCACUGUAGGGGGUAGAGCACUGUUUCGGCUAGGGGGUCAUCCCGACUUACCAAACCGAUGCAAACUCCGAAUACCUACAAGUGCCGAGCAUGGGAGACACACGGCGGGUGCUAACGUCCGUCGUGAAAAGGGAAACAACCCAGACCGUCAGCUAAGGUCCCAAAGUUAUGGUUAAGUGGGAAACGAUGUGGGAAGGCUUAGACAGCUAGGAGGUUGGCUUAGAAGCAGCCACCCUUUAAAGAAAGCGUAAUAGCUCACUAGUCGAGUCGGCCUGCGCGGAAGAUGUAACGGGGCUCAAACCAUACACCGAAGCUACGGGUAUCACGCAAGUGAUGCGGUAGAGGAGCGUUCUGUAAGCCUGUGAAGGUGAGUUGAGAAGCUUGCUGGAGGUAUCAGAAGUGCGAAUGCUGACAUGAGUAACGACAAUGGGUGUGAAAAACACCCACGCCGAAAGACCAAGGUUUCCUGCGCAACGUUAAUCGACGCAGGGUUAGUCGGUCCCUAAGGCGAGGCUGAAAAGCGUAGUCGAUGGAAAACAGGUUAAUAUUCCUGUACUUCUGGUUAUUGCGAUGGAGGGACGGAGAAGGCUAGGCCAGCUUGGCGUUGGUUGUCCAAGUUUAAGGUGGUAGGCUGGAAUCUUAGGUAAAUCCGGGAUUCUAAGGCCGAGAGCUGAUGACGAGUUACCCUUUGGGUGACGAAGUGGUUGAUGCCAUGCUUCCAAGAAAAGCUUCUAAGCUUCAGGUAACCAGGAACCGUACCCCAAACCGACACAGGUGGUUGGGUAGAGAAUACCAAGGCGCUUGAGAGAACUCGGGUGAAGGAACUAGGCAAAAUGGCACCGUAACUUCGGGAGAAGGUGCGCCGGUGAGGGUGAAGCACUUGCUGCGUAAGCCCACGCCGGUCGAAGAUACCAGGCCGCUGCGACUGUUUAUUAAAAACACAGCACUCUGCAAACACGAAAGUGGACGUAUAGGGUGUGACGCCUGCCCGGUGCCGGAAGGUUAAUUGAUGGGGUUAGCUAACGCGAAGCUCUUGAUCGAAGCCCCGGUAAACGGCGGCCGUAACUAUAACGGUCCUAAGGUAGCGAAAUUCCUUGUCGGGUAAGUUCCGACCUGCACGAAUGGCGUAACGAUGGCGGCGCUGUCUCCACCCGAGACUCAGUGAAAUUGAAAUCGCUGUGAAGAUGCAGUGUAUCCGCGGCUAGACGGAAAGACCCCGUGAACCUUUACUAUAGCUUUGCACUGGACUUUGAAUUUGCUUGUGUAGGAUAGGUGGGAGGCUUUGAAGCGUGGACGCCAGUUCGCGUGGAGCCAUCCUUGAAAUACCACCCUGGCAACUUUGAGGUUCUAACUCAGGUCCGUUAUCCGGAUCGAGGACAGUGUAUGGUGGGUAGUUUGACUGGGGCGGUCUCCUCCUAAAGAGUAACGGAGGAGUACGAAGGUGCGCUCAGACCGGUCGGAAAUCGGUCGUAGAGUAUAAAGGCAAAAGCGCGCUUGACUGCGAGACAGACACGUCGAGCAGGUACGAAAGUAGGUCUUAGUGAUCCGGUGGUUCUGUAUGGAAGGGCCAUCGCUCAACGGAUAAAAGGUACUCCGGGGAUAACAGGCUGAUACCGCCCAAGAGUUCAUAUCGACGGCGGUGUUUGGCACCUCGAUGUCGGCUCAUCACAUCCUGGGGCUGAAGCCGGUCCCAAGGGUAUGGCUGUUCGCCAUUUAAAGUGGUACGCGAGCUGGGUUUAGAACGUCGUGAGACAGUUCGGUCCCUAUCUGCCGUGGACGUUUGAGAUUUGAGAGGGGCUGCUCCUAGUACGAGAGGACCGGAGUGGACGAACCUCUGGUGUUCCGGUUGUCACGCCAGUGGCAUUGCCGGGUAGCUAUGUUCGGAAAAGAUAACCGCUGAAAGCAUCUAAGCGGGAAACUUGCCUCAAGAUGAGAUCUCACUGGGACCUUGAGUCCCCUGAAGGGCCGUCGAAGACUACGACGUUGAUAGGCAGGGUGUGUAAGCGCUGUGAGGCGUUGAGCUAACCUGUACUAAUUGCCCGUGAGGCUUGACCAUAUAACACCCAAGCAAUUUGAAUGCUCCAAGCCCCA